RNAcentral lists this ribosomal RNA (549 nucleotides) under Conus consors. Its description in RNAcentral is "partial 12S ribosomal RNA". Lineage: Eukaryota; Metazoa; Mollusca; Gastropoda; Neogastropoda; Conidae. The record is from RNAcentral.
AAACCAAGAAAUUUAGUCAUUCUUUUACGGUAAAAAGACGGUUAGACAAAUAGUUAAAUUAUUGGAUCUUUAGUAAAGGAGUAAAAUCUAAAUACUAGAAGUUAUACCAGAUAUAGUUUAUUUAAGAUGUUGAAUCUGUGACAGCUUUAAGGGAAACUGGGAUUGGAUACCCCAUUAUUUUUAGUUAUAAAUUUAGUUUAAGCUUACCAGAGUACUACGAAUAAAAAGUUUAAAACUCAAAGGGCUUGGCGGUGUUUUAGACCUCUCAGGGGAACCUGUCUCAUAAUCGACAAUCCACGUUAAACCUAACCUUUUGUAGUAAUACAGUUUGUAUACCGUCGUCGUCAGGUAACUUCUUAAAAUAUAGUAGUUAGCUUGAGAAUUUUAUUAAUUAAAACGUCAGAUCAAGGUGCAGCUAAUGAAAAGGUGAGGAUGGGUUACAAUUACAUAUUUGUAAACACGGAAAAAUGCUUGAAAUGGAGUAUUUUAAAGGAGGACUUGAAAGUAAUUUUGAUUAUAUAAGUGGAAUGAAUAAGGCUCUGAAACGUG